UACGUAGGCAGCGAGCGUUGUUCGGAGUUACUGGGCGUAAAGGGUGUGUAGGCGGUUGUUUAAGUUUGGGGUGAAAUCUCCCGGCUCAACUGGGAGGGUGCGCCGAAUACUGAAUGACUAGAGUGCGGGAGAGGUGAGUGGAAUUCCUGGUGUAGCGGUGAAAUGCGUAGAUAUCAGGAGGAACACCGGUGGUGUAGACGGCUCACUGGACCGUAACUGACGCUGAGGCGCGAAAGCCAGGGGAGCAAACGGG
Molecule: ribosomal RNA, 253 nt
Filed under: uncultured bacterium
Lineage: Bacteria
Description: partial 16S ribosomal RNA
Rfam family: Bacterial small subunit ribosomal RNA
Source: RNAcentral